RNAcentral lists this transfer RNA (69 nucleotides) under Ictidomys tridecemlineatus (thirteen-lined ground squirrel). RNAcentral's name for it is "Spermophilus tridecemlineatus (thirteen-lined ground squirrel) tRNA". It matches the Rfam family "tRNA". From Rfam's summary of the family: Transfer RNA (tRNA) molecules are approximately 80 nucleotides in length. The record is from Rfam by way of RNAcentral. Lineage: Eukaryota; Metazoa; Chordata; Mammalia; Rodentia; Sciuridae.
GGGGUUGUGGCUCAGUGGUAGAGUGCUUGCCUUGCAUGAGUAAGACCCUGGGUUCGAUCCUCAGCACCA